GAAGGAGGGGGAAGUGCGUGGCUCUCGCGAUGAGUAUUUUCAUCUCUAAGGGUUGUCUUCACAACAGGGGAGGACGAGGCCCUCCCCUCCUCGAGGAGCACCACCACCAGAUACACUUACUGAAUCUGACUUCCAAUUUCCUUCCAGGUGUAAGCCUCCCCUGCGUGGGCUGCUCGAGAUGGGAUUCCCUGGGGAGUCUGCUUACAUCAAUUACUUAACUGCUACAAAACACAGGGUGCUGUUGCGAAGGGUUUUUACAGAUGUGAAAAGGUCCCGCAUCAAAUGAACCGGGGAAGAGGAUCAUCGCACGUGGGCCUCCGUUCCCUGCACAGACAGACGCUGCCUGUGGACAAUAGCUUUUGGCUGGACACAUAGGCUUCCAGCUUGCAAUGUUCUCCCCUUCCCCAUGUCCAAAACUGAACUUGUGUAUCCACCCCAACAAACGUAUGAUCCAAUUCCUUAAUAUUCCCUGUCAUCAGUCUAUCCAAAAUCCG
This is a long non-coding RNA of Psammomys obesus (fat sand rat), 494 nucleotides long. RefSeq lists it as uncharacterized. The transcript has 3 exons. Lineage: Eukaryota; Metazoa; Chordata; Mammalia; Rodentia; Muridae. The record is from RefSeq and is a predicted model, not a curated record.